Molecule: long non-coding RNA, 590 nt
Filed under: Hordeum vulgare
Lineage: Eukaryota; Viridiplantae; Streptophyta; Magnoliopsida; Poales; Poaceae
Description: long non-coding RNA (HVUL_LNC017510)
Source: RNAcentral
ACCCUUACUACAGCAUGAAUAUAUAUAGCACAACUGAUGCAAAAUGGACCUGGUUAACCGAGCAAUCCGGCGGAUGGCGAGGCACAACGAGAUCACUCAGUACUACUUCUUUGAUGAUACCCGUCGCCUGUUGGAACUCGCCCAUGGAUCGAUCACAUCAAAUCAGAACGAACACGCACACACAAAAUCUUAUGGACAAGGGCCCUUGUCGUGCCCUAAUUUUUCCUCUUUUUAUUUCUCCUUUUUCUCUCAACUCACGGUACAAAAAUUUUGCACGACCUGAUGCAUAUAUAUGCAGAGCAGCCGCCGACAUGUACAGCCUAAACCUAUUCGGAGCCCAACUCCAACUCUACUAGGACUCACAUACACAACUGGCAAUACCUCCUCCGGUACAACUAUGACCAGAGCUCAGCCUUUAAACAUCACGUGUACAUGACCAAUCCCUAUACUAAUCCUAGCCGGACUAAUGCAAAGCUAAUACAUGUUUUGAACCUCUAAAUAAAAACUAACUAAUCUACUACUAGACAAGAUUAUCACUAACAUCGCCUUGUAUGCCCGAACCACCGAAACCUGAAUCUCUAAUGUGUANN